RNAcentral lists this ribosomal RNA (253 nucleotides) under uncultured bacterium. Its description in RNAcentral is "partial 16S ribosomal RNA". It matches the Rfam family "Bacterial small subunit ribosomal RNA", at positions 524 to 776 of the family's 1533-position model. The record is from RNAcentral.
GACAGAGGGUGCAAACGUUGUUCGGAAUUACUGGGCGUAAAGCGCGUGUAGGCGGCCCUGCAAGUCGGAUGUGAAAUCCCACGGCUCAACCGUGGAAGUGCAUUCGAAACUGCAGGGCUAGAGUCCUGGAGAGGAAGGUGGAAUGCUUGGUGUAGAGGUGAAAUUCGUAGAUAUUCGGAAGAACACCAGUGGCGAAGGCGACUUACUGGACACAUAUUGACGCUGAGGUGCGAAAGCGUGGGGAGCAAACAGG